This 601-nucleotide ribosomal RNA is filed under the name Aspergillus niger. RNAcentral's name for it is "partial 18S ribosomal RNA". The stretch from base 192 to 342 matches the Rfam family "5.8S ribosomal RNA". Lineage: Eukaryota; Fungi; Ascomycota; Eurotiomycetes; Eurotiales; Aspergillaceae. The record is from RNAcentral.
GGGGCGCCCGGAGUGCAGGUCUUUGGGCCACCUCCCAUCCGUGUCUAUUAUACCCUGUUGCUUCGGCGGGCCCGCCGCUUGUCGGCCGCCGGGGGGGCGCCUUUGCCCCCCGGGCCCGUGCCCGCCGGAGACCCCAACACGAACACUGUCUGAAAGCGUGCAGUCUGAGUUGAUUGAAUGCAAUCAGUUAAAACUUUCAACAAUGGAUCUCUUGGUUCCGGCAUCGAUGAAGAACGCAGCGAAAUGCAUAACUAAUGUGAUUGCAGAAUUCAGUGAAUCAUCGAGUCUUUGAACGCACUUGCGCCCCCUGGUAUUCCGGGGGGCAUGCCUGUCCGAGCGUCAUUGCUGCCCUCAAGCCCGGCUUGUGUGUUGGGUCGCCGUCCCGCGCUCUCCCGCGGACGGGCCCGAAAGGCAGCGGCGGCACCGCGUCCGAUCCUCGAGCGUAUGGGGCUUUGUCACAUGCUCUGUAGGAUUGGCCGGCGCCUGCCGACGUUUCCAACCAUUUCCAGGUUGACCUCGGAUCAGGUAGGGAUACCCGCUGAACUUAAGCAUAUCAAUAAGCCGGAGGAAUUUCAUCCUUGUAUUUCAUUUAAACAAUAUC